This 451-nucleotide ribosomal RNA is filed under the name uncultured bacterium. RNAcentral describes it as "partial 16S ribosomal RNA". It matches the Rfam family "Bacterial small subunit ribosomal RNA", at positions 354 to 796 of the family's 1533-position model. The record is from RNAcentral.
GUGGGGAAUAUUGGACAAUGGGGGGAACCCUGAUCCAGCCAUGCCGCGUGUGUGAAGAAGGCCUUUUGGUUGUAAAGCACUUUAAGCGAGGAGGAGGCUACCGAGAUUAAUACUCUUGGAUAGUGGACGUUACUCGCAGAAUAAGCACCGGCUAACUCUGUGCCAGCAGCCGCGGUAAUACAGAGGGUGCAAGCGUUAAUCGGAUUUACUGGGCGUAAAGCGCGCGUAGGUGGUCAAUUAAGUCAAAUGUGAAAUCCCCGAGCUUAACUUGGGAAUUGCAUUCGAUACUGGUAGGCUAGAGUAUGGGAGAGGAUGGUAGAAUUCCAGGUGUAGCGGUGAAAUGCGUAGAGAUCUGGAGGAAUACCGAUGGCGAAGGCAGCCAUCUGGCCUAAUACUGACACUGAGGUGCGAAAGCAUGGGGAGCAAACAGGAUUAGAUACCCGUGUAGUCC